UACGGCUACAUCACGUUGAAACACCGUUUCUCCUACGAUCACCGAAGUUAAGUAACGUUGAGCCUGGUCAGUACCUAAAUGGGUGACUGCUUGGGAAUGCU
Acanthosepion pharaonis is the source of this 101-nucleotide non-coding RNA. The record is from the annotation of a GenBank genome assembly. NCBI's taxonomy places the organism in Eukaryota, Metazoa, Mollusca, Cephalopoda, Sepiida, Sepiidae.